Long non-coding RNA from Hemicordylus capensis (graceful crag lizard), 2828 nucleotides. RefSeq lists it as uncharacterized. The transcript has 5 exons. Lineage: Eukaryota; Metazoa; Chordata; Lepidosauria; Squamata; Cordylidae. The record is from RefSeq and is a predicted model, not a curated record.
UCAAUUAAUAUGACAAGCUUUGUGAUCCUGUCAGUUUUCACUGAGGGUGGGACCAGUGUUUGCUUCCCCACUCCUCUCUGGUUUUUUUCCAAAAUUUCAGAGUAUCACACUGAAAAAGAAUUAUGGAUUUCCGUCUGAGAGGACUGCAUGAACUGAUAAAGCAAAAACUAUGGUAGAAAACAACUUGUUUUCCCCACCCUUUAGGUCAUAAUUUCAGUUGAGAGAGAAAGUGUAAUAAAUUUUGGCGGGAAAAAUAACCAAACUAUUUUGGACAUUUCUAAUGACUGGUCUGUGUAAACACUACUGAGAAAUGGAGGGAGAGAACAAUUUGACCGAGAGAAUGAUUAUUUUUCUUGCGCCAAAGCCUAGGUAUUUGUCAAGUCAAGUCUUUCAAAAUUGUCUGAAGCUCACUGAAAAGAGGAAGCAGACACACACAAAAGAAACCUUUGGAAAAGUCUUCAGCUCUUUUAUAUCUAGGCCCUAUAUGCUUCUAUUAAUCGGCAAAAAAGGGAUUACAGAACAUGCACAAUUAAAUUUUCCUCAUGAAUAUAGUCAAUAAACAGCAUAUUUCUCAGAAUAGGCCCAGUUCUGGAACUAAGAUCUGGACAACAUAUAGAGCAGAAUAAGGUGGUAUAAUCACAACAUGGCAGCCUGGAUUGUACCACUUCAGAUUUCAGAUGAGAAGGCAAUUUUCUGAAUGCUAGUCCACAUUUUUAAAAAAAUUAGGCCUACAAGUAAAGGACUAAUACAUCAUGGAGAAAGGUUCUAACCAAACCCACUUUCUGCUUGUUUUCUGUUUUACACAGCAGGAUAUUAGAAAAAUAUGCACCAACUAUCUGCAGUGGUACAAUCCAAUCUACUAUUUCAGAUCUCUUCCACUUCAUUCCUACUUUAUUCUGUGGCAUAAGAACGUCUUUAAGAGAAAGUCUUCUUCACUAUGAGCCCGAUCACCCAUUGAGAUCCGGGGAGGUUCAUCUGCAGUUGCCACCAGCUUGUCUGGUGGCUACACAGGGACUGGCCUUCUCUGUUGCUGCUUCGAUACUCUGAAAUGCACUCCCCGUUGAAAUAAGAGCCUCUCCAUCUUUGACAACUUUAAGAAAAUCUCUAAAGACACAUUUAUUCACCCAAGCUUUUUAACGAGACAUGGUUUUAAAUUGUCUUAAGGUUUUAAUUUCUUUUUAAAUUUGCUUUAUGUUGCUGUAAACCACCCAGAGAUGGAAGUUUGGGGCAGUGUACAAAUAUGAUUGAUAGACAGAUGUGGUGAUGAGGCCUAAAACUUCUUAAGAAUUACUAUUGUGUUUUGUAGGCCAUGGAGACAUGCAUGUGGAUCAGACACCAGAUGCCACCCAGCCAGGUUGCUCUAUACAAGCAAGCUGUGGGGACAGGUACCCUGGCACAGCUCUCUCUGUCUUGAACAGUGAACCCACUCUUCUGGGGUAGCUGGAAAUUGGGGCUUCCCUCUCCCGUGAUUCCGAGCGGCGGCAGAUCUGCAUACGGCACAAUGCCAGUCCAAACCCAGGAAAUUUGAAUGAGAAUAAAGAUCCAUCUUUGUUGGGUUAGCUGAACCUAUGAGCAUGCAGUCCGAUGGAAGACCAAAGACUGGUUUUUCAAUAUGUAGCAGAAAAUUCACAGAGUCAGGAAGUCAUGAAGAUGAAGAAGAAGAAGAAGAAGAUGAUGAUGGCAACAACUAUACCUUUCAGGCAUCACAGGAAAGAGAAGCAACUCAAAUGUCUUACAAACAGACAAAUAAAUGCAAAGAUGAGUAUGAAGGCAACGAAGGAUAACAAGACAAAUUUAAAUGAAAAGGUAUGUGACAGGCAUUCUUUCCCACUCCCAGUUCAACCAGCCUUGGGCACAGCAAAGAACAGCAGAGUCACUGUACAUACUCUGAAUGUGACGCAUUUUAAUACUUUCACUUGAGCUAUCUGUCAAAGAAUAACUAUGCUGUGUGUCAGUCAACACUUGGGCUGAUCUGCUACUGUGCAUGUCAUGAUGUAAGACCAUCCCUGAUUGUGCUUUUCAUGCCUUCUCCUCUCAAAGCUUCACUCAUGAUCAGUGUCUUGGAACUUUUAGGGAACAAUUACCAUAGUGUGAUCAAAUUCAGCAUAUAUGUGAGGAAAGAAUCGCCAAGGAUAUCUAACACAGACACUUUGAACCUCAGAAGAGGAAACUUCUCUAAAAUGAGGAGUUUGGUGAAAAGAAAACUGAAAAGGAUAAUCAGGAGAGACACUUUGCUCCAGAAUAAUUGGAGUUUAUUUAAAACCACAACAAUAGAAGCCCAGUUAGAAUUUAUACCAAAAAGAAGGAAAGGUACCACUAAGUCCAGGAGGAUGCCAGCAUGGCUAAAAGUAAAGUCAAGGAGGAUGUUACAAAGUCCAGGAGUAUGCCAGCAUGGCUAAAAGUAAAGUCAAGGAAGCUAUAAAAGGUAAAGGGGAAGAAUAAUUCCUUCAGAAAUUGGAAGAUCUGCCCAAAUGAAGAGAACAAAAAGGAACAGAAACGCUGGCAAAAUAAAUGUAAGGAGACAAUAAGGGAUGCGAAGAGAGAGUUUGAGGGACAUUUAGCUAAAAACAUCAAUGAGAAUAACAAAAACUUCUUUAAAUACAUCAGAAAUAGAAAACCUGCCAAGGAGGUGGUGGUCUGUUAGAUUAUGUGGGAGUAAAAGGGAUUAUUAACCCUCAUCCGGAUUUGGGGGUGGAUUAUAUGCAUAAUGGUGUGCAAACAAUUUGUUAUGCUAACAAAUAAAGUUUUUAUUAUUAUUAUUAUUAAUAAUAAAAACAAACAAGCAAACCGCUGCACUCCCAGCUAUGCUCUUGUUGUCAAUUUCUUAG